CCUCUCAUGGCGUAGUGGUUAACGCGCCCCAACUUGAGAUCGGGGAGUCGUGAGUUCGAUUCUCACUGAGAAGA
Molecule: non-coding RNA, 74 nt
Organism: Aedes aegypti (yellow fever mosquito)
Lineage: Eukaryota; Metazoa; Arthropoda; Insecta; Diptera; Culicidae
Source: Rfam